This 87-nucleotide transfer RNA is filed under the name bacterium. RNAcentral describes it as "tRNA-Leu". It matches the Rfam family "tRNA". Rfam says of the family: Transfer RNA (tRNA) molecules are approximately 80 nucleotides in length. The record is from RNAcentral.
GCCGAGGUGGUGGAAUUGGUAGACACGCAAGACUUAAAAUCUUGUUUCAUUUAUGAAGUGCGGGUUCAAGUCCCGCCUUCGGCACCA